This is a long non-coding RNA of Labeo rohita (rohu), 373 nucleotides long. RefSeq lists it as uncharacterized. NCBI's taxonomy places the organism in Eukaryota, Metazoa, Chordata, Actinopteri, Cypriniformes, Cyprinidae. The transcript has 6 exons. The record is from RefSeq and is a predicted model, not a curated record.
GACAAUUGAGCUGAAGACUCAACGUGUGUUUGCAGAGGAUCUAUUUCGGUAAAAUCAAGAAUACCAGCUGAUGACUGCUGUGCAGUGGAAAUAUCGAUCAUCUUGAUAAAACCUCAGUAUAUCAUCAGGAGCAACAGGCCACAUUUUCAGCUAAAAAUCUUCUUUGCUGUUCUGCUGAAGAAAAAUACUCAUGAACAUCUUGGGUGGCGUAAGGAUCUUUGCAGGAUUCAGUCGCAUAUCUCGGAUCUGAGUUCUGCGCAGCACUGGACACAGACUCUGCACUUUUGACAUUUUCUAGAAAAAAGGAUUUUAAAUUUCACAUCAAGUUAAUUAAAAGCCUGUCUCUAUUUUUUCAUAGUCAUCUGAUGUUUCC